This is a non-coding RNA of Pseudophryne corroboree (corroboree frog), 426 nucleotides long. Lineage: Eukaryota; Metazoa; Chordata; Amphibia; Anura; Myobatrachidae. The record is from the annotation of a RefSeq genome assembly.
AUGAAGGCUGCACUGGGCUUAUUUAUAUCACUAACAUGUUUAUCAGGUGGUGUCCAGUGUGAUGCCCAACUUGUCCAGUCAUCAGACCCAGUGCUGGUAAAGCCUGGAAACUCCCAUAAACUGUCCUGUGAAGGAUCUGGAUACACUUUCAGCAGCUAUUGGAUGUACUGGGUUAGACAGUUUCCUGACAGAAGGUUACAAUGGGUGUCUGCUAUUAGUGGUGACGGGUCGAGCACACGCUAUCUUGAUUCUGUUAAAGAACGAUUUACAAUCUCCAGAGAUAAUAAUAAGAACAUGCUACAUCUGCAAAUGGCCAACAUGAAAGCUGAAGACACUGCUGUGUAUUACUGUGCUAGAGACACACUGGUAGAAAACAUCCCAUGUCUGUGUCAAAAACUUUAUGACAAUUCUUUGUUAUAUCUGUAG